AUCCUACGGGAGGCAGCAGUGGGGGAUAUUGCACAAUGGGGGGAACCCUGAUGCAGCGACGCCGCGUGGGUGAAGGAGCGUUUCGGCGCGUAAAGCCCUAUCGGCAGGGAAGAAGAUGACGGUACCUGACCAAGAAGCCCCGGCUAACUACGUGCCAGCAGCCGCGGUAAUACGUAGGGGGCAAGCGUUAUCCGGAUUUACUGGGUGUAAAGGGAGCGCAGGCGGUCUGGCAAGUCUGAUGUGAAAUACCGGGGCUCAACUUCGGGACUGCAUUGGAAACUGUCAGACUGGAGUGUCGGAGAGGG
RNAcentral lists this ribosomal RNA (305 nucleotides) under uncultured bacterium. RNAcentral's name for it is "bacterial SSU rRNA". It matches the Rfam family "Bacterial small subunit ribosomal RNA", at positions 335 to 658 of the family's 1533-position model. The record is from RNAcentral.